Molecule: long non-coding RNA, 1006 nt
Organism: Tupaia belangeri chinensis (Chinese tree shrew)
Lineage: Eukaryota; Metazoa; Chordata; Mammalia; Scandentia; Tupaiidae
Exons: 4
Source: RefSeq, a predicted model, not a curated record
CCAGGUGUUUUGCUCAACAUUGUUAAAGUCUGGCAUAAUGGGGCCACUCAACAAGGUGUGUCUAAUGAUUUAAUGAAUUAACAGAAGAGAACUAAUUUUAGGCAUUCUCCAAUUACACAUGAAUUUGUUCAGUCAAAAAGCAUAGACACCUUCUAUAUGACAGAUAUUAGACUAGGUGGCAAUAAACAAAUAUGGUGAUAUGAGCAGGCCAAGAGGAAUACAGAAAAGACAUGGCAUGGCAUGCAGGGAUGAGUGAAGACUACACGGGGAAGUAGCACAUGAAACGAAUCUAAGAAAACAUGCCCCUAUGAGCAAGUCCUGUCAAGAGGCAAAGAUGAUCACGGAGAAGCAUGCAAAGACCUUAUUUGGAAAGCAGAUGAAUGGGAAGAUUGUGCAUUCUCUUGUGAUCGGUGGGACCAUGCAGCUCAGGCUCCCCAGAGAGAUGUGAAUAGAAAUAAUGCUUCGAACACAAACCUGAAUCAUAUCGGUUGCAACAUUUUGGCUGAAACAUCUCAAAAACCUCAGCGCAUUGCGGAUAAACAGGACUACCUAGCAAAAAAUUUAAAGACAUUUUUAUUUAAAGAAAGAGAGGAAAGUUAUAUUCCACAAGGAAAUAGAGUUGAUGCAAAUAAAAAUCCAUGUAUAUAGUGAGAUUAAGCCAUUUCAGGAAAAUGAAAAGAAAACUAGCUGUAAGGUAAUGGGGAGGACACAUUUAAAAAGUUGGGGUUUUUUUGUUGUUGUUUUGUUUUAUUUUGUUUUUUUUCCCCAUUCCUUUUAGAAAGGAAAACAAGAUAGUUACUAUGCUCUUCUAUAACUAUCUUGGGGUAAAAAAGAAGUUGCAGUAAAGAGCAGGCAUGAUAAUGAACUUACAAUUCCAUCCCAUCCAUUUUAAUCAAAUGGGAUAUUAGCCUUCCAGUCAACACUAAGUGGAAGUGUGAAUAGCGAAGCAAUCUUGUGGUGUCCCCCAAGAGGAUGUUCUAGUUUAUUUAGAGAUGUGAAAGUUGCA